RNAcentral lists this ribosomal RNA (504 nucleotides) under Triticum aestivum (bread wheat). Its description in RNAcentral is "partial small subunit ribosomal RNA". The record is from RNAcentral. Lineage: Eukaryota; Viridiplantae; Streptophyta; Magnoliopsida; Poales; Poaceae.
AUGCAGAACCACCCAGGUUUCCACUACUAUCCCUCCCUGCACGACAAUGGUUGUGUCCGUUCUCCUAUCAUUGAUCCGGAGUCUGAUAGUGUUGCUAGCCACCUUUCUUGUUAUAUCACUUCUAGCUACCUUAUGAUCCACGAGCUGGCUCGAGAGCUGACUCGUGCUUGUACUGCUUUAGCCACUUCUAGAUAUUUCACUACUCCAUCCUCUAUGGGAUUUACCCCUUAUAUUCCAUCCAGUUCUAGUUCACCUAUUUCACCGGUUACUCCUCCGAGUAGCUCGGGCACCACGACCAUGAAUGCUCUCAGCGCUCCUGCUGAGUGGGCUUCCCUUCUCACUACUCCCGUAGCCCCAAUGCUUCACCCUGCACCUGCCCCAGAGGGAGAGCCCUCGAGGAAGCGUUGUUGUGUUACCUUUAACCCGGAGGUUUUAGUUAACGUCGUCAGUUCAAGAUCCGAGUCCGCUUCAGGAGAGGACCUCGCAGCACCAGCGGAGCAGUAG